CUCCAUCGACGUCGAAGCCACCUACGGAGAGGCCCCGAAGUUCGCCCUCCUGUGGCCGCCACGAGCCUAUCGCGUCUUCCCUGCUGGCACCAAACCCACCCACGAGUAGCUUCGAAGCUCGCCACGCUCCUAUGCACCCGACUAUAGCAAUCUCGACCGAAGCGAGCCCCCGUGUGCCUGAUCGUGACAAUCCUGGCCGAGGA
This 203-nucleotide long non-coding RNA is filed under the name Elaeis guineensis (African oil palm). RNAcentral describes it as "long non-coding RNA (EGUI_LNC043156)". Lineage: Eukaryota; Viridiplantae; Streptophyta; Magnoliopsida; Arecales; Arecaceae. The record is from RNAcentral.